Molecule: non-coding RNA, 67 nt
Organism: Mycena floridula
Lineage: Eukaryota; Fungi; Basidiomycota; Agaricomycetes; Agaricales; Mycenaceae
Source: the annotation of a GenBank genome assembly
GCGUUGAUGGUGUAGUGGUAGCAUUGUCGCUGCGCGACAACCCAGGUUCGAUUCCUGAUCCGGCGCC